RNAcentral lists this unclassified non-coding RNA (340 nucleotides) under soil metagenome. RNAcentral describes it as "partial contains 5.8S ribosomal RNA, internal transcribed spacer 2, and large subunit ribosomal RNA". The stretch from base 1 to 119 matches the Rfam family "5.8S ribosomal RNA", at positions 36 to 154 of the family's 154-position model. The record is from RNAcentral.
AUGAAGAACGCAGUGAAAUGCGAUAAGUAGUGUGAAUUGCAGAAUUCAGUGAAUCAUCGAAUCUUUGAACGCACAUUGCGCCCUUUGGUAUUCCAAAGGGCAUGCCUGUUCGAGCGUCAUUUGUACCCUCAAGCUUUGCUUGGUGUUGGGCGUCUUGUCUCUAGCUUUGCUGGAGACUCGCCUUAAAGUAAUUGGCAGCCGGCCUACUGGUUUCGGAGCGCAGCACAAGUCGCACUCUCUAUCAGCAAAGGUCUAGCAUCCAUUAAGCCUUUUUUUCAACUUUUGACCUCGGAUCAGGUAGGGAUACCCGCUGAACUUAAGCAUAUCAAUAAGCGGAGGA